UCACUUCUGAAUGAAACGCGCCCACUAUCCUAUACAUCUCAUGUGAACCGUAACUAGGCUACUAGCUGGGUGGUUAACCUAGCUAACCUAGCUGGGUUAAUGACUUACAACUGUAACCUCGUUUUUUUUUUACGAUCACUGGAAGAUCUGAGGAGCCCCUUGAAGAGCAGAAGUGCAGAAGAUGGGCUGAAGGUGUCAUAUUUAUACCGACGAUAUGAAAAAUUCCUCUGUUUCCUGGGGGAGACGUUCGAAACUACAGAUGCUUUCGAAGAUGGGGCAAUGAAGAGGAGAUCUUUAUUUUUCACUAAUGACAACAUCACUGCUCGAGUAUGUCGUUAUUCUUGGGACGGAUGCUGUGGAUUUACUUGAGUUACUCACUCAACGUCUUUCGAGGAUAUUCUUUGAGAUUGCGUCGGCAGGAUGAAGAUGGACGGCCGGAUGGAUGGAUAGAUGGACAGCUGACUCAAUCAGCUUCUGUAGAAUCUGACUCCCACUUUUACACAUGUCUUACACAAAUGCGUGCGUUACGAAAAAAACUAAACACGUCAUCGAAGAUGCUGAGUGUGUUGCCUAGUUUAAAACGUUUUCCUUUGAGUCAGGUGGCAUGACCUCAAUCGAUCAUGUCCUCUUGAGAGAUGUGGUUUUUAUAUCUGUUAUAUCUGUAAUUUGACAGACAGUGCUGAAGAGUAAUAAUAUAAUUGAAGUAUGCGUUUUAUUAAUGCCAGCUGCUUUAUGUUAGAUCCUCUUUCUGUGUAUUAAUGAAGUAAAUGACACGUCAUAUGCUGACUUUACACUUUG
Long non-coding RNA from Astyanax mexicanus (Mexican tetra), 798 nucleotides. RefSeq lists it as uncharacterized. NCBI's taxonomy places the organism in Eukaryota, Metazoa, Chordata, Actinopteri, Characiformes, Acestrorhamphidae. The transcript has 3 exons. The record is from RefSeq and is a predicted model, not a curated record.